UUAAAUAGUUAGGGGUUUAAUUGAAAAGCUAAAGAAAAGUUUAGGGGUUAAUUGAAAUUUCUGCAGGACAAAAUUGUUGUAAUUAAAAAGUUGAGGGACCAAAUAGUAAUGAAGAAAAGUCCAAGGGCUAAAUGCUGAUAAGGAAAAAAGGGAAAAGAAAGAAAAAAAGAAGGAAGAGGGAGUCGACGUCGGGGGGAGAAGAAGAAGGAGGGAGAGAGGGCGUUGCUGUCCGUCGGCUCGGGGCGUGGUGGCGGUAGCUGGCGAAAGAGCCGGCGCCGGCGGCAUCAGCUUCAGUUGGCGGCAAGCGGCAGCCCGAAGAGAGAGAAAAAAAAGGAGAGAGAUGAUGCAACGGCUGUCCAGCACCGUUCAUGGCGUUUCUGGCGUCGGUAGCCACUAUUUUUGGUGGCGAUCGACUCCCAUUGGUCUUGGCUUUGUUUUGGCAGUAGCAGCGACGCGAAUGGUGGCAGAAAUUGGAAGUUCGCAGUGGAGAGAGAAAUUUGGUGGCAGUCGCGUUUUCUAGCUUUUCCGGCGAGGGAUGGAUGAUCGGAUGGCAUAUCCGGACUCUCCUCAGCUCAAGCUUCACAAUGGCGCCGGUUUCGUGGCGAUCAAACCCUGUUUAAAAAUCGACGGCCGAGAUCGUCUGUAAAUCUCUCCGGAUGAUCAGGGGUCGAAUCGAAAAAUCGGAAGCAGGGAUCGUCAUCAGCGCGUCAUUUUGAGUCUGUUGGUGCGUUCGGAUCGUCGCUCAGAUUCCGGCGGCUGGUGGCGAGUUGACCGAGCGAUCAAGCGUCUUGAUAAUCUGUCGGUUCGGCUCGCUCCAUCCGAGGCAUCGGAGCAGAGCUAUGAGGUCGUCAAAGCUUCUUCUCGCAGCUCUUACCUAGCAACCCAACUCCUUCAUCAUCGAGUGAUGUAUUUGAUUUGGUAUGUUUGACUUGUAAAAUUUUAUAUUCUCCACAGUAGAAGUAAUAGACUUAUCAGUUGUAAUUUUAUAUAGUUUCGGGUCUCGCCUAAUUCUUAUGGCAGACCGAAUUAAAUAUGUAGAAUUUAAUGGUUAAGAAAUUGUGACAUCAGUGAUAUUAGAUGAGAUGUAAUUAAGUUAAUGAGUGUCAGGCUUACUACGGGAUUCGGUGGCCUUACAUCUACCCAUUCCCUAGUGCCGGUCACGGGCCCACAGAUCGGGUCGUCACAUAGAAGACCAAUUUAAGAUCGGUUUU
Molecule: long non-coding RNA, 1211 nt
Organism: Ricinus communis (castor bean)
Lineage: Eukaryota; Viridiplantae; Streptophyta; Magnoliopsida; Malpighiales; Euphorbiaceae
Exons: 3
Source: RefSeq, a predicted model, not a curated record